UGCCUGCUUUUCAGGUACGUCCGACAUUAUAAUUCAAGAGCCGGCUGCUGGAGUAUAUGCAGAAAACACCUAUGCCCAUGCCUCUUUACGAGAUUACACAAGAAGGGCCUCUCCAUAAACCCCUGUUCAAAUCAACUGGCUCUUGAACAUUAUAAUCUCCGACGUAGCUGAGAAAAGGGGA
This 181-nucleotide microRNA precursor is filed under the name Picea abies (Norway spruce). RNAcentral's name for it is "miR11457 stem-loop (pab-MIR11457)". Lineage: Eukaryota; Viridiplantae; Streptophyta; Pinopsida; Pinales; Pinaceae. The record is from miRBase by way of RNAcentral.